Molecule: ribosomal RNA, 465 nt
Filed under: uncultured bacterium
Lineage: Bacteria
Description: partial 16S ribosomal RNA
Rfam family: Bacterial small subunit ribosomal RNA
Source: RNAcentral
GAUGAACGCUGGCGGCGUGCUUAACACAUGCAAGUCGAACGGAAAGGCCCAAGCUUGCUUGGGUACUCGAGUGGCGAACGGGUGAGUAACACGUGGGUGAUCUGCCCUGCACUUCGGGAUAAGCCUGGGAAACUGGGUCUAAUACCGGAUAGGACCACAUUUUGGAUGGUGUGGUGGAAAGUUUUUCGGUGUGGGAUGAGCUCGCGGCCUAUCAGCUUGUUGGUGGGGUAAUGGCCUACCAAGGCGUCGACGGGUAGCCGGCCUGAGAGGGUGUACGGCCACAUUGGGACUGAGAUACGGACCAGACUCCUACGGGCGGCAGCAGUGGGGAAUAUUGCACAAUGGGCGCAAGCGUGAUACAGCGACGCCGCGUGGGGGAUGACGGCCUUCGGGUUGUGAACUCCUUUCGCUAGAGACGAAGCGCAAGUGACGGUACCUGGAGAAGAAGCACCGGCUAACUACGUG